This 393-nucleotide ribosomal RNA is filed under the name uncultured bacterium. Its description in RNAcentral is "bacterial SSU rRNA". It matches the Rfam family "Bacterial small subunit ribosomal RNA", at positions 30 to 424 of the family's 1533-position model. The record is from RNAcentral.
AUUGAACGCUGGCGGCAUGCCUUACACAUGCAAGUCGAACGGCAGCACGGGAGCAAUCCUGGUGGCGAGUGGCGAACGGGUGAGUAAUAUAUCGGAACGUGCCCAGUCGUGGGGAUAACGUAGCGAAAGCUACGCUAAUACCGCAUAUGAUCUAUGGAUGAAAGCGGGGGAUCGCAAGACCUCGCGCGAUUGGAGCGGCCGAUAUCAGAUUAGGUAGUUGGUGAGGUAAAGGCUCACCAAGCCGACGAUCUGUAGCUGGUCUGAGAGGACGACCAGCCACACUGGGACUGAGACACGGCCCAGACUCCUACGGGAGGCAGCAGUGGGGAAUUUUGGACAAUGGGCGCAAGCCUGAUCCAGCAAUGCCGCGUGCAGGAUGAAGGCCUUCGGGUU